UACGGGGGGGGCAAGCGUUGUUCGGAAUUACUGGGCGUAAAGGGCUCGUAGGCGGCCAACUAAGUCGGACGUGAAAUCCCCAGGCUCAACCUGGGAACUGCGUCCGAUACUGGAUGGCUUGAAUCCGGGAGAGGGAUGCAGAAUUCCAGGUGUAGCGGUGAAAUGCGUAGAUAUCAGGAGGAACACCGGCGGCGUAGACGGCUUGCUAGACCAUAACUGACGCUGAGGCACGAAAGCGUGGGUAGCAAACAGG
This 253-nucleotide ribosomal RNA is filed under the name uncultured bacterium. Its description in RNAcentral is "partial 16S ribosomal RNA". It matches the Rfam family "Bacterial small subunit ribosomal RNA", at positions 524 to 776 of the family's 1533-position model. The record is from RNAcentral.